AGCAGUCACCACGGGAAUACAGAGGGUGCGAGCGUUAAUCGGAUUUACUGGGCGUAAAGCGUGCGUAGGCGGCUUUUUAAGUCGGAUGUGAAAUCCCUGAGCUUAACUUAGGAAUUGCAUUCGAUACUGGGAAGCUAGAGUAUGGGAGAGGAUGGUAGAAUUCCAGGUGUAGCGGUGAAAUGCGUAGAGAUCUGGAGGAAUACCGAUGGCGAAGGCAGCCAUCUGGCCUAAUACUGACGCUGAGGUACGAAAGCAUGGGGAGCAAACAGGAUUAGAGACCCCUGUAGUCCCUGUCUCUUAUAC
RNAcentral lists this ribosomal RNA (303 nucleotides) under uncultured bacterium. Its description in RNAcentral is "partial 16S ribosomal RNA". It matches the Rfam family "Bacterial small subunit ribosomal RNA", at positions 507 to 807 of the family's 1533-position model. The record is from RNAcentral.